UCCCACCAGCACCAGUGCAGAAGCCUGCACAAACCUGUUCAGAGAACUUUAGGCUAACAAAAAAAUGCCACAAAUCAGAUUAUUGAAAGUUUAACUUCAAAUAUCUGUUAAAAUAACAGAUGAGGCUCUUAGACACUGGAUGAAGGCGCCAUUUACGCCUCUGCUACUCUCUGCAGAGACACCUGUGUCUCCUACAAUUAUUUGCAUUUAAUCUGUUAUUAAUUUAAUUAACCUAGUAGUUACAUGGCACUUUAGUGAUUAUAUUCUAUUUUAUUGUUUUUCUAUUUUCUAACAUUUACGUCUAAAUAUUUACUCAAAUUUUACUUCCGUUUCUGUGUACGAUCUGUGACUAAGGCUUAUUACAUAACAAGAGGCUCACUUCUUAACUGAGACUGCAUAUAGAUUUUAUUUUAAAGGUCAAUCCAGACAAGCAGGACAUCACUGCAGGUGUUGAACGUUACCUUUCUUUAGCCAGAACCAAAGGACAAAAUCUGCGCAUCCCUUACCAGGGAUGAAUUUCCUGAUCCCGUCUUAAUGCUACGUCGUUCGUAAGUUCUACGUUAAAAGACUUAAGUUACGAACGAUGUUGCGUUAAUGCGGCUUCGGGAAACUCACCCCAGAACGAUAUUAUCCGUCUGGCUGUAACUCAAAGUCUCACAUUUUUAAAACCACUUUUGAGUGGCAGGAGAUAAAAUUCACGCUUCUGUUUUCUUAAAGAUUCCUUUUAUCAGUUAAAACAUAGACCGUUCUGUUCGUGUCAAGGACUAGCGCGCCUUGGAUUCAGAUUUGUGAUAAACGGAGGAACAUGACGCUACCCGAGGCUUCAGAUCUCUGAGAAAACACGCUCCCACUCGGAGCACACCUCUACAAGGUCGAUGGUUUAACAUCUGCCUGCCAAGAGAUGAGACUGGUGAAAUCAGGAAGCUAUAAGGAGAGACGAAAUUUACCGAUGAGGAUACUUGUCUUGUAAUCGUUAUUAUCGAUGGCGCCGAAGCGGACGGCUGGUCUUGCGGUCUUUGCAGCAGACCACAGCAGGAGCGACAGAUGGAAGAGGGGUCAGGUUACUGUAGCCACCCCCCCCCGCAAAGUCACCAGCCCAAGCCGGAGCAACUUCGCGACGUGUCACCCCCAAGUCGUCUGUCGAGCAAUGACAUCUGAAAAGAAUUCCCUCACAAGCGAAUGAAAACACGGUGUUUUUUUCGGCACUAGACCAUCAGCUUAAAAUAAUAAUAAUAAUAAUUAUUAUUAUUCCAGAACGGUGAACAACAGUCGAUGAAUACCAAUUUAGAAUAAAAUACCCAAAAGAAGAAACCAGAAAAGAAAAGUGAGCAAUUAUGUG
Long non-coding RNA from Brienomyrus brachyistius, 1339 nucleotides. RefSeq lists it as uncharacterized. The record is from RefSeq and is a predicted model, not a curated record. The transcript is spliced from 3 exons. NCBI's taxonomy places the organism in Eukaryota, Metazoa, Chordata, Actinopteri, Osteoglossiformes, Mormyridae.